CUGUUGCUUCGGCGGGCCCGCCUUCGGGCGGCCCGGGGCCUGCCCCCGGGACCGCGCCCGCCGGAGACCCCAAUGGAACACUGUCUGAAAGCGUGCAGUCUGAGUCGAUUGAUACCAAUCAGUCAAAACUUUCAACAAUGGAUCUCUUGGUUCCGGCAUCGAUGAAGAACGCAGCGAAAUGCGAUAACUAAUGUGAAUUGCAGAAUUCAGUGAAUCAUCGAGUCUUUGAACGCACAUUGCGCCCCCUGGUAUUCCGGGGGGCAUGCCUGUCCGAGCGUCAUUUCUCCCCUCCAGCCCCGCUGGUUGUUGGGCCGCGCCCCCCCGGGGGCGGGCCUCGAGAGAAACGGCGGCACCGUCCGGUCCUCGAGCGUAUGGGGCUCUGUCACCCGCUCUAUGGGCCCGGCCGGGGCUUGCCUCGACCCCCAAUCUUCUCAGAUUGACCUCGGAUCAGGUA
Molecule: ribosomal RNA, 454 nt
Filed under: Aspergillus brunneoviolaceus
Lineage: Eukaryota; Fungi; Ascomycota; Eurotiomycetes; Eurotiales; Aspergillaceae
Description: partial 18S ribosomal RNA
Rfam family: 5.8S ribosomal RNA (bases 127-280)
Source: RNAcentral